RNAcentral lists this transfer RNA (72 nucleotides) under Camelus bactrianus (Bactrian camel). It matches the Rfam family "tRNA". From Rfam's summary of the family: Transfer RNA (tRNA) molecules are approximately 80 nucleotides in length. Their secondary structure includes four short double-helical elements and three loops (D, anti-codon, and T loops). The record is from Rfam by way of RNAcentral. Lineage: Eukaryota; Metazoa; Chordata; Mammalia; Artiodactyla; Camelidae. RNAcentral also lists the same sequence under 2 other names.
AGAGGUAUAGUCCAGUGGUACAGUACAUGCUUAGCAUGCAUGAGGUCCUGGGUUCAAUCCCCGGUACCUCUA